UGCAGUCGAACGGAAAGGCCCUUCGGGGUACUCGAGUGGCGAACGGGUGAGUAACACGUGGGUGAUCUGCCCCGCACUCUGGGAUAAGCCUGGGAAACUGGGUCUAAUACCGGAUAGGACCACACACUUCAUGGUGAGUGGUGCAAAGCUUUUGCGGUGUGGGAUGAGCCCGCGGCCUAUCAGCUUGUUGGUGAGGUAAUGGCCCACCAAGGCGACGACGGGUAGCCGGCCUGAGAGGGUGACCGGCCACACUGGGACUGAGAUACGGCCCAGACUCCUACGGGAGGCAGCAGUGGGGAAUAUUGCACAAUGGGCGCAAGCCUGAUGCAGCGACGCCGCGUGAGGGAUGACGGCCUUCGGGUUGUAAACCUCUUUCAGUAGGGACGAAGCGAAAGUGACGGUACCUACAGAAGAAGGACCGGCCAACUACGUGCCAGCAGCCGCGGUAAUACGUAGGGUCCGAGCGUUGUCCGGAAUUACUGGGCGUAAAGAGCUCGUAGGUGGUUUGUCACGUUGUUCGUGAAAACCCACAGCUUAACUGUGGGCGUGCGGGCGAUACGGGCAGACUAGAGUACUGCAGGGGAGACUGGAAUUCCUGGUGUAGCGGUGGAAUGCGCAGAUAUCAGGAGGAACACCGGUGGCGAAGGCGGGUCUCUGGGCAGUAACUGACGCUGAGGAGCGAAAGCGUGGGUAGCGAACAGGAUUAGAUACCCUGGUAGUCCACGCCGUAAACGGUGGGUACUAGGUGUGGGUUUCCUUCCUUGGGAUCCGUGCCGUAGCUAACGCAUUAAGUACCCCGCCUGGGGAGUACGGUCGCAAGACUAAAACUCAAAGGAAUUGACGGGGGCCCGCACAAGCGGCGGAGCAUGUGGAUUAAUUCGAUGCAACGCGAAGAACCUUACCUGGGUUUGACAUGCGCAGGACGUAUCUAGAGAUAGGUAUUCCCUUGUGGCCUGCGUGCAGGUGGUGCAUGGCUGUCGUC
RNAcentral lists this ribosomal RNA (982 nucleotides) under Mycobacterium sp. 746G15. Its description in RNAcentral is "bacterial SSU rRNA". It matches the Rfam family "Bacterial small subunit ribosomal RNA", at positions 56 to 1056 of the family's 1533-position model. The record is from RNAcentral. Lineage: Bacteria; Bacillati; Actinomycetota; Actinomycetes; Mycobacteriales; Mycobacteriaceae.